RNAcentral lists this non-coding RNA (264 nucleotides) under Clostridium butyricum. RNAcentral describes it as "GlcN6P sequence". It matches the Rfam family "glmS glucosamine-6-phosphate activated ribozyme aptamer". From Rfam's summary of the family: This entry contains a glucosamine-6-phosphate activated ribozyme that is found in the mRNA for GlmS. The record is from RNAcentral. RNAcentral also lists the same sequence under 1 other name. Lineage: Bacteria; Bacillati; Bacillota; Clostridia; Eubacteriales; Clostridiaceae.
AAAAUUUUUAAAGCGCCAGAACUUAAGUAAAUUACUUUAGUUGAUUGAAUGUGGAUGUUUAGAGUUUUUUUAAAAGGAAACUCGACUCACAUACGUUCGCUGAGUAAGUUCCACUAACCAAAUCAUAGAUUUGGAUGCUCACUUAAGUUGACGAGGUUGGGGAGUUAUCGAAACUUCGGCGGGUGCCCCACGGUAUAGCACUACCGUUAACAGCUGGCAAAACUUUAAAGUGAUUUAAAGUACAAAUCCAGUUUGGUGUUAAAG